This is a non-coding RNA of Spinacia oleracea (spinach), 99 nucleotides long. The record is from Rfam. NCBI's taxonomy places the organism in Eukaryota, Viridiplantae, Streptophyta, Magnoliopsida, Caryophyllales, Amaranthaceae.
GGCUUAUAAAGAAAGAUGGAGGGAACUGACCCUGUGAAAUCUUGACAACCUACCCAUUGGGCAAGGUGUUACGUUCAGCCUUUUAAGGAAAAAUAAGCA